This is a non-coding RNA of Schistosoma curassoni, 46 nucleotides long. Lineage: Eukaryota; Metazoa; Platyhelminthes; Trematoda; Strigeidida; Schistosomatidae. The record is from Rfam.
GCACUGCUGAGGAGUCCCACAACAGGACGAAACGGCCGUCCGGUGC